UAGGGAAUCUUCCACAAUGGACGCAAGUCUGAUGGAGCAACGCCGCGUGAGUGAAGAAGGUCUUCGGAUCGUAAAGCUCUGUUGUUGGUGAAGAAGGAUAGAGGCAGUAACUGGUCUUUAUUUGACGGUAACCAACCAGAAAGUCACGGCUAACUACGUGCCAGCAGCCGCGGUAAUACGUAGGUGGCAAGCGUUGUCCGGAUUUAUUGGGCGUAAAGCGAGCGCAGGCGGAAUGAUAAGUCUGAUGUGAAAGCCCACGGCUCAACCGUGGAACUGCAUCGGAAACUGUCAUUCUUGAGUGCAGAAGAGGAGAGUGGAACUCCAUGUGUAGCGGUGGAAUGCGUAGAUAUAUGGAAGAACACCAGUGGCGAAGGCGGCUCUCUGGUCUGCAACUGACGCUGAGGCUCGAAAGCAUGGGUAGCGAACAGGAUUAGAUACCCCGGUAGUCCAUGCCGUAAAACGAUGAGCGC
Molecule: ribosomal RNA, 470 nt
Filed under: uncultured bacterium
Lineage: Bacteria
Description: partial 16S ribosomal RNA
Rfam family: Bacterial small subunit ribosomal RNA
Source: RNAcentral